CCUACGGGUGGCAGCAGUGGGGAAUAUUGGACAAUGGGCGAAAGCCUGAUCCAGCCAUGCCGCGUGUGUGAAGAAGGCCUUCGGGUUGUAAAGCACUUUCAGUGGGGAAGAAAGCCUUGGGGCUAAUACCCUCGAGGAAGGACAUCACCCACAGAAGAAGCACCGGCUGAACUCCGUGCCAGCAGCCGCGGUAAUACGGAGGGUGCGAGCGUUAAUCGGGAUUACUGGGCGUAAAGCGCGCGUAGGCGGUCUGAUAAGCCGGUUGUGAAAGCCCCGGGCUCAACCUGGGAACGGCAUCCGGAACUGUCAGGCUAGAGUGCAGGAGAGGAAGGUAGAAUUCCCGGUGUAGCGGUGAAAUGCGUAGAGAUCGGGAGGAAUACCAGUGGCGAAGGCGGCCUUCUGGACUGACACUGACGCUGAGGUGCGAAAGCGUGGGUAGCAAACAGGAUUAGAUACCCGUGUAGUC
Molecule: ribosomal RNA, 466 nt
Filed under: Vreelandella stevensii
Lineage: Bacteria; Pseudomonadati; Pseudomonadota; Gammaproteobacteria; Oceanospirillales; Halomonadaceae
Description: partial 16S ribosomal RNA
Rfam family: Bacterial small subunit ribosomal RNA
Source: RNAcentral